GCCUAUCUUUCCAACAUAUCCUAACCAUUAUGAACGGUUAUCGAUAACGUGUCACUAUCAUUAGUGGAAAUAAAUAACUCAUUAACUCCAUGAUUAUAGUUCGAUAAUUUAGCGCCAUAAAAAGUGGGACACGUGCUCGACUGUUACAUCAGAGUCAUCUAUAAAAAGGGAGGUAAAGGAACAGCACGGAUAAGAUAAUUCUGGAUGAAGACUCUGCCAUUUCAAAUUCUCUUUAUCUACUGUUCACCAAACUUCUCUCCGAAUUGGGAAAGAUCUUACAGAAUAAUCGAGACAC
This 295-nucleotide long non-coding RNA is filed under the name Elaeis guineensis (African oil palm). RNAcentral's name for it is "long non-coding RNA (EGUI_LNC013693)". Lineage: Eukaryota; Viridiplantae; Streptophyta; Magnoliopsida; Arecales; Arecaceae. The record is from RNAcentral.